This 257-nucleotide ribosomal RNA is filed under the name uncultured bacterium. Its description in RNAcentral is "partial small subunit ribosomal RNA". It matches the Rfam family "Bacterial small subunit ribosomal RNA", at positions 27 to 288 of the family's 1533-position model. The record is from RNAcentral.
GGGACGAACGCUGGCGGCGUGCUUAACACAUGCAAGUCGAGCGGAAAGGCCCUUCGGGGUACUCGAGCGGCGAACGGGUGAGUAACACGUGAGCAACCUGCCCCUGGCUCUGGGAUAGCCUCCGGAAACGGGGAUUAAUACCGGACAUGACCCUUGACCGCAUGGUUGGGGGGUGGAAAGUUUUCGGUCCAGGGUGGGGCUCGCGGCCUAUCAGCUUGUUGGGGGGUGACGGCCUACCAAGGCGACGACGGGUAGCC